Mauremys reevesii (Reeves's turtle) is the source of this 72-nucleotide non-coding RNA. Lineage: Eukaryota; Metazoa; Chordata; Testudines; Geoemydidae. The record is from the annotation of a RefSeq genome assembly.
GGUCCCAUGGUGUAAUUGGCAGCACUCAGGACUUUGAAUCCUGAAAUCUGAGUUCAAAUCUCAGUGGGACCU